GUAAAAUAUGCGGGAGUUCUAGCAUAAUUAUACUUUAACUCCCAUAAAAUUUGCAGGAGUUCUAGCAUAGUUAUCCUGGAACUCCCGUAAAAUAUGCGGGAGUUCAAGCAUACUUAUGCUGGAAUUCCAGUAAAAUUUGCGGGUGUAUUUUUCGGAUUUUGAACAUUGUUUUCGCUCAGAUUUAUCUUUAUAUAAAAAGCGGCUAAAUUUCGAUGACUUUUGAAACUUGGC
Molecule: long non-coding RNA, 231 nt
Filed under: Nicotiana benthamiana
Lineage: Eukaryota; Viridiplantae; Streptophyta; Magnoliopsida; Solanales; Solanaceae
Description: long non-coding RNA (NBEN_LNC000899)
Source: RNAcentral